RNAcentral lists this signal recognition particle RNA (98 nucleotides) under Terriglobia bacterium. RNAcentral's name for it is "signal recognition particle sRNA small type". It matches the Rfam family "Bacterial small signal recognition particle RNA". Rfam says of the family: The signal recognition particle (SRP) is a universally conserved ribonucleoprotein involved in the co-translational targeting of proteins to membranes. The record is from RNAcentral. Lineage: Bacteria; Pseudomonadati; Acidobacteriota; Terriglobia.
CUUCGGGCUCCGCGCGACGGAUGCUCGCGAACCCCGCCAGGUCCGGAAGGAAGCAACGGUAACGAGCCUCUCCGUGUGCUGCGGAUAACCCGAAGUCU